GUGGCUGAGGACCCAGUGGGCAGGCCAGGUCACCUGUUUGGGGAAUGGAGGCGGGCUCCUCCCUUAGGGCGUCACAAGGGCAGCAUGAGUGGCCUUUGGUCUCUGCCUCCAGCUGUUCUCCAUGCAAUUAGAUCAUGCGGUUCCUUCAGCCUGGUCCUCAGGGCAGACUCUGCAUGCCAGGGAGGCGUACACUCUCCUUCCGAGCAUCAUGACAACCUGUGAGGCAGCCUCACUCCAGGAACCCAAGCACAGGAACAUCGUAGGUCAUCGUAGCUCAUCAAGGUCCCAAGCCAUCCAGUGGCUACAUGAGGGCUUUUUCAAAGAAGAUGGAGAAGUGGAACCCCAGGCUCGAGGAUGCAGACUCUACAUUCUGAGGCUGUGCUGUUGAUGACCUCUGAUGAGCACAGUUAAGCAAGACCUAAUAAUUAAAUAUUGGUUUUUGAACCAAUUGCUAAGCCAAUUGGUGGCUUGAAAUUUGACUCAAAAGACUCUAUACCACAGAAACUGGCAAAUGCUAAAUCAUGAGAGUUUUUUUGUCUUUGCUUUCUGGAAUGUCAGUUUAUCACUAGCGGGGGACUUGUGCUGGAUCUGUACCCCACCCUGGCUAGUGAUUAAGAAGUUUAUAGCAGUCUCAGCUGCUUGGACCUAAGUGACCUGCCAAACUGGGGAGCUAGAACCUACCUGGCCCAUAUGUUCCCCUACAGUCUGUGACUCGGGCUGGGUGACUGUUCACAGGGAGGCCCUGCAGGCCGCACCUGUUCAUACUGGCCUAUCACAGGGUCUCAAGGCUAUAUAUAACGUGCUGGAAGGAGUUAUGGUCCAGCCUUUGGGUGGGCUUAGGGGCUCGUCUCUAGCUAGGAUCAAGAACAUGGUAAAGAUAUGUUUGCCGUGUCCCUUUGUCCUUGGAAGAUGCCAUACCUGGAACACAACAGAAACACUCAGAGACCUUGGAAUGGCCAUGCAAAUGGUGCACUGAUGAGCUCAACCAGGUGAGGCAGGCCAGGAGCCAUUGCCUCCUCCCAGAGCCUCAGCCUUGGCAGCUGAUUAUUGACAGGUAUAGGCACUGGGCGGGACGCCCUCAUUAUCCCCCAUUAGCUCUCCUGAGUGCUCUGGAGCAAGCACCCUGAACUUGAUCUGAGAGGAGGUAAAUCAGGACAGUAAACAGGAAGCA
RNAcentral lists this long non-coding RNA (1171 nucleotides) under Cavia porcellus (domestic guinea pig). RNAcentral's name for it is "lncRNA (ENSCPOG00000032262.1)". The record is from RNAcentral. Lineage: Eukaryota; Metazoa; Chordata; Mammalia; Rodentia; Caviidae.